Molecule: ribosomal RNA, 454 nt
Filed under: Phasmarhabditis sp. DF5056
Lineage: Eukaryota; Metazoa; Nematoda; Chromadorea; Rhabditida; Rhabditidae
Description: partial 12S ribosomal RNA
Source: RNAcentral
UGAAGUUUUCUUUUAGAGAAUUAAGAUUUGAUCAUGGUUUUAAAUGAUUUUAAAUGGUAUUAUCUAAAUUUGAUUUACGGAGUGGACAAUGAAAAUUUAUCCCGGCAAAUUAUCGCUUGUAAAAUACUUGUUCCAGAAUAAUCGGCUAGACUUGUUAAGCUUGUACUUUAAUUGUUGUUAACUAUAAAUUUAUUUUUAUAACUUUAAAAGUUUAAGGUAGAAUUAGAACUUUUUUAUGUAUAGUUUUAUAGUUUUAAAUUUUGUUGAACGAAUUAGAUUAGUACCUAAUUAGACAAAAAUUAAAAGAGCAGAAGUAAAGUUGUAUUUAAACUGAAAAGAUAUUGGCAGACAUUCUAAAUUAUCUUUGGAGGCUGAGUAAUAAUUGAGAACCCCCAUUAACUACUUAGUUUUUAGACUCAUGUAUGAUCGUUUAUUUUAUUCUUAAUAUAAAUAA